RNAcentral lists this ribosomal RNA (898 nucleotides) under uncultured bacterium. RNAcentral describes it as "bacterial SSU rRNA". It matches the Rfam family "Bacterial small subunit ribosomal RNA", at positions 8 to 916 of the family's 1533-position model. The record is from RNAcentral.
AGAGUUUGAUCAUGGCUCAGGACGAACGCUGGCGGCGUGCUUAACACAUGCAAGUCGAACGAUGAACCGGUUUCGGCCGGGGAUUAGUGGCGAACGGGUGAGUAACACGUGGGUAAUCUGCCCCGCACUCUGGGAUAAGCCCGGGAAACUGGGUCUAAUACCGGAUAUACAUCGAUGGUCGCAUGGCCUGUCGGUGGAAAGCUUUUGCGGUGUGGGAUGGGCCCGCGGCCUAUCAGCUUGUUGGUGGGGUGAUGGCCUACCAAGGCGACGACGGGUAGCCGGCCUGAGAGGGUGACCGGCCACGCUGGGACUGAGACACGGCCCAGACUCCUACGGGAGGCAGCAGUGGGGAAUAUUGCACAAUGGGCGAAAGCCUGAUGCAGCGACGCCGCGUGAGGGAUGACGGCCUUCGGGUUGUAAACCUCUUUCAGCAGGGAAGAAGCGCAAGUGACGGUACCUGCAGAAGAAGCACCGGCUAACUACGUGCCAGCAGCCGCGGUAAUACGUAGGGUGCAAGCGUUGUCCGGAAUUAUUGGGCGUAAAGAGCUCGUAGGCGGCUUGUCGCGUCGGUUGUGAAAGCCCGGGGCUUAACCCUGGGUCUGCAGUCGAUACGGGCAGGCUAGAGUUCGGCAGGGGAGACUGGAAUUCCUGGUGUAGCGGUGAAAUGCGCAGAUAUCAGGAGGAACCACCGGUGGCGAAGGCGGGUCUCUGGGCCGAUACUGACGCUGAGGAGCGAAAGCGUGGGGAGCGAACAGGAUUAGAUACCCUGGUAGUCCACGCUGUAAACGGUGGGAACUAGGUGUGGGCAGCAUUCCACGUUGUCUGUGCCGUAGCUAACGCAUUAAGUUCCCCGCCUGGGGAGUACGGCCGCAAGGCUAAAACUCAAAGGAAUUGACGG